This 76-nucleotide transfer RNA is filed under the name Thermoplasmata archaeon M11B2D. Its description in RNAcentral is "tRNA-Thr". It matches the Rfam family "tRNA". Rfam says of the family: Transfer RNA (tRNA) molecules are approximately 80 nucleotides in length. Their secondary structure includes four short double-helical elements and three loops (D, anti-codon, and T loops). RNAcentral also lists the same sequence under 1 other name. Lineage: Archaea; Methanobacteriati; Thermoplasmatota; Thermoplasmata. The record is from RNAcentral.
GCCCGUGUAGCUCAGUUGUUAGAGCAUCCCAUUGGUAUUGGGAAGGUCGUAGGUUAGACUCCUAUCAUGGGCACCA